UACGUAGGUCCUGAGCGUUGUCCGGAUUUAUUGGGCGUGAAGCGAGCGCAGGUGGUUUAUUAAGUCUGGUGUAAAAGGCAGUGGCUCAACCAUUGUAUGCAUUGGAAACUGGUAGACUUGAGUGCAGGAGAGGAGAGUGGAAUUCCAUGUGUAGCGGUGAAAUGCGUAGAUAUAUGGAGGAACACCGGUGGCGAAAGCGGCUCUCUGGCCUGUAACUGACACUGAGGCUCGAAAGCGUGGGGAGCAAACAGG
RNAcentral lists this ribosomal RNA (252 nucleotides) under uncultured bacterium. Its description in RNAcentral is "partial 16S ribosomal RNA". It matches the Rfam family "Bacterial small subunit ribosomal RNA", at positions 524 to 776 of the family's 1533-position model. The record is from RNAcentral.